UUGCGGUGAGCCGAGAUCCGGCCACUGCCCUCCAGCCUGGGUGACAGAGAAAGACUCCGUCUCAAAAUAAAUAAAUAAAUAAAUAAAUAAAUAAGAAUUUAGUGAGAGCUGGUUAUAGUUUGGAACCUCAUUUGUGAAAUAAACCAUAUUUCAAAAUAUUUUAAGCAGAAAUACAUUUAAGUUGUAGCCUACAAAUUACCAGAAUUUGUCCUAGUCACCUAAAUAAAAAAUGUAAAAGUUCUACAUUUUAACGUCCUUUCAACAUUUUAUGAACAGAAAACCCGGCAGGUAAACAGCUCAAGUCUGAAUGGGAAAUGAUAACAUAUAAGAUCAGCAGCAUCCGCGCAAAUAAAAAGUCAAAUUUUUAUCCAACACAAAACAAUUACAUACGCUUUAAUCAAAAAGAAAUUAGCAACGGCCAACCCCAAUCCCAUUACUUUCAAAAAAAGUCCUCUAACUUUCCUUUCCAGUUGAAUGUACACUGAUUGAAAUGGUUGUUUUAUGCGGACAAUUGAUUUUUUUAAAUGAAAUGUCUAAUAGGGAAGUCAGUACAUUACACUACCCAUUCCAGAAAGCAGCCUUCCAUUGAAUUUACUCAAACUAAUUGCUGAAUUAGAUGACCAUGGAAAGUUACUGAGGGCAUAUCCAGCACUUUCUUCUGAACCAAAACUAAAUCUGUUUUGGUCACUACUGCAUUGCUAUUCAAAAUCAAGGACUGUUCAUCUCUCUGGAAUAUUAGUAUCGUAAGCCUGGGGAGGUGACAAUAUCAUGUAAUGGAGUUGUGGGGAAAGGAGUCAGAGUGUUGUGGCAACUCCCGGACCAAGGGAAAGAGUCUGUAGAAGUUCAUAGAAUCAGCUGACAUGCUACGGUCAAAGAAUUUGCAAUUAGCAAUUGACCAAUCAAUUUUGAUUAACUCAUUCUGUAUGACUAUCAUAGGCUAUUAAAAAUAGGAAAGCGUGUUUCUAAAAUGGGUUUCAUAACAAGUGAUUUAAUGAUAAAAGCUUGGACAGUUUUCAGAAUUCAAAAAUUCCGAGAUACUAAUAUCUUUAAAAACUCCUGUCAUUGUGUGUGUGUGUGUGUGUGUAAACACUACCUGUGUAAUCAUCUAUUGAGAUUUAAAUUAGGACAUUUUCUCAGUGUAUCCCAGUUCUAAAGUUACUAUUUAUUAUAUUGCUAUCCUAGGAACAGAGUGAGAAAAGGCAAAGAGGUAAUUUAACACAGUCUUUUUCUGCUAAAAUCAGAGUGUCUCUCAUCUCUGCCUGAAUCCAAUACAUUGUGAUUACUGAAAUACAUAUUAUAGAAUAUCUACUUAUUUUGUGGAUUUAGGCAACGAUUAUGAUUGUUGCUUUUCUCACAUCUAAAAAUCAAAUUUAUAUUAUACAUGAAGACAUUUUCUAAAGAACUUUUGGUCUGUAUAAAAAUGAAUACUUAAUAGAAACGUAAUAUUAUUUUAUGUUAUUUGAAUUGUUAAGUUUAAGAAAAUAAAAUGUUUUUAAAUCUAUUACUUUUAACAACACUGUAAC
Molecule: long non-coding RNA, 1523 nt
Filed under: Homo sapiens (human)
Lineage: Eukaryota; Metazoa; Chordata; Mammalia; Primates; Hominidae
Description: HSALNT0217858
Source: RNAcentral